GGGAGAGUUCAGACGUCGGACGGCCGCUGGACGGGUCAGACGUCGGCUGUCGGACGGUUCACGGUCCGCUGUGGUACUGCUCGGACGUCGGUCCGCGUCAUGGCGCUGCUGUUGGUCCUGCUGGUGACGACGGUGGCCGGCCAGGAUCCGGCGCCAGCUCCACAGCCACCCGUGCUGGCACCCGUCGGAGUCAACCUGCCUCAAUACCCCUCCUACAUCGGCGUGGCCGCCGAGAUCAGACGAGCCCUGUACGGCCAGCCGCCCAGUCUGGAGCAGCUCAACAUUCAGCCCCACAACGACUCGACCAUCAGCGUGCGCGGCGAGACCUACGAGCUGGACGAUACGGACAGCGUCACAGUGGACGGCCAGCGACUUCAGGUGCUCGGGGACGCGGUCUCGGUGAACGGCAUGCUGCACUACCCGGCGCCGCCCCCGCCACCGCCGCGCCGCAAACCCGACUGGGAGCCGCUGCCGCCGUACUCUGGCGAGGGCGUGCACUCGGUCGAGCUGGGCGCCAUGCUCGCCGUGGCCGUGCCGGCUGCCGCCAGUCAGUACACGGGUGGGGGUGACAGUCCGCGGGCACCUCUGCACUGCCACACCGCGCCACCUCGCGGGACUCUGCUCUCUGAAUAAUAGUUAGUUACCUGAACUCCAGACGGGUGACAUCAGCAGCACUCACAGCACUGGUAUGUGUGCAAGGAAUCCUACACGUCACCAACCCAGGCUGAGUGGAACUGGCCACGGCCACAGCAUGUCUAUCUCAGCUGCUCACUGCUCGUUUGCUCAGAGCAGCCACUCCACACAGCACUGCCAGCACUGCGAUCAAUAGCCAUGCUGGGGCUGCUGCUGUGCUGUCUGGCCUGCACCCACCGCAGCUGCUGGUGCUGCGGCCUCUGUGACGGCAGGAUCAGCGCCGCGGAGCUCAGGCGGA
This 931-nucleotide unclassified non-coding RNA is filed under the name Amphibalanus amphitrite. RNAcentral describes it as "uncharacterized LOC122386463, transcript variant X1". Lineage: Eukaryota; Metazoa; Arthropoda; Thecostraca; Balanomorpha; Balanidae. The record is from RNAcentral.